UACGAAGGGCGCUAGCGUUGUUCGGAAUCACUGGGCGUAAAGCACGCGCGGGCGGCUUGCCAAGUCAGGAGUGACAGCCUGGGGCUCAACCCCAGAACUGCUUCUGAGACUGACAGGCUAGAGUCUGGGAGAGGAAUGCGGAAUACCGAGUGUAGAGGUGAAAUUCGUAGAUAUUCGGUGGAACACCAAUGGCGAAGGCAGCAUUCUGGAACAUGACUGACGCUGAGGCGUGAAGGCGCGGGGAGCAAACAGG
This 253-nucleotide ribosomal RNA is filed under the name uncultured bacterium. RNAcentral describes it as "partial 16S ribosomal RNA". It matches the Rfam family "Bacterial small subunit ribosomal RNA", at positions 524 to 776 of the family's 1533-position model. The record is from RNAcentral.